Molecule: long non-coding RNA, 371 nt
Organism: Drosophila obscura
Lineage: Eukaryota; Metazoa; Arthropoda; Insecta; Diptera; Drosophilidae
Exons: 3
Source: RefSeq, a predicted model, not a curated record
UGGAUUUCAUAAGAAAGAGCUCGACAAAACGUACAUGUAUGAGUGAUUUCCGUGAUGCCCCCUGGCAGCUGUAGAUGUCGUUAUUGCAGCGCUCUACCCGGGCUCCCACCCCCUCGAUGGCCAUUUCGCUUUAUUGCUUUCGGUAUAUUGAUGCUUCAUAUGGCUGCUGCCGGCCCUUGCGAGCUCAUUUUAUUGGAAUAUAUUUUUAUGGACCGUUGACUUCGGAUUCUCCUUGUGGCUGCUGCUCUGUUCUGCUGGGAAUUGCUGUUUUUCUGUGAAUUGAAUCUGGUUGACGCCCUGAAGAGGUUUGUACACGCAAUAGUACGAUUGAUGUAAUAACAAUGUAACACUGUCCACUGUCCUUCAAGUCG